GCUGGGCAUGGUAGCACAUGCCUGUAGUCCCAGCUACUUGGGAGGCUGAGGCAGGAGGCUUGCUUGAGCACAGGUGUUUGAGAUUGCUGUGUGCGAUGAUGCCAUAGUACUCUAGCCUGGGCAAAAGAGCAGGACUCUGUCUCAA
Molecule: non-coding RNA, 145 nt
Filed under: Otolemur garnettii (small-eared galago)
Lineage: Eukaryota; Metazoa; Chordata; Mammalia; Primates; Galagidae
Source: Rfam by way of RNAcentral